This 373-nucleotide small RNA is filed under the name Pan troglodytes (chimpanzee). RNAcentral describes it as "processed transcript". The record is from RNAcentral. Lineage: Eukaryota; Metazoa; Chordata; Mammalia; Primates; Hominidae.
UGAAGCCCAGUUCAAUACAAACAAGUGAGUUUGACUCAUCAGAUGAAGAGCCUAUUGAAGAUGAACAGACUCCAAUUCAUAUAUCAUGGCUACCUUUGUCACGAGUGAAUUGUUCUCAGUUUCUCGGUUUAUGUGCUCUUCCAGUAGCUGCUUGUCUCCUACUAUACCUGUCUGACACAAUAUCACCAGAGCAAGCCAUAGACAGCCUGCGAGACCUAAGAGGAUCCGGGGCAAUACAGACCAUCAAGCAAUACAAUUAUCUUCAUGAGUUUCGGGACAAAUUAGCUGCACAUCUAUCAUCAAAAGAUUCACAAUCAAGAUCUGUAUCAAGAUAAAGGAAUUCAAAUAGCAUAUAUAUGACCAUGUCUGAAAU